GAUGAACGCUGGCGGCGUGCCUAAUACAUGCAAGUCGAGCGAACAGACGAGGAGCUUGCUCCUCUGACGUUAGCGGCGGACGGGUGAGUAACACGUGGAUAACCUACCUAUAAGACUGGGAUAACUUCGGGAAACCGGAGCUAAUACCGGAUAAUAUAUUGAACCGCAUGGUUCAAUAGUGAAAGACGGUUUUGCUGUCACUUAUAGAUGGAUCCGCGCCGCAUUAGCUAGUUGGUAAGGUAACGGCUUACCAAGGCAACGAUGCGUAGCCGACCUGAGAGGGGGGUGGGCCAACCUGGAACGAGAAACGGGGCAAAAUCCCAAGGGGGGGAAGAAGAGGGGAAUUUUCCGAAAGGGGGAAAAGUUGAAGGGAGAAACCCGGGGGGGGGAAAGAGGGUUUUGGGAUGGAAAAACCUUUUUAUAAGGAAAAAAAAAAGGUGUAAGAAAAUAGGAACGUUUUGACGGUACCAAAAAAAAAAGCAACGGGUAACUACGU
This 496-nucleotide ribosomal RNA is filed under the name uncultured bacterium. RNAcentral's name for it is "partial 16S ribosomal RNA". It matches the Rfam family "Bacterial small subunit ribosomal RNA", at positions 28 to 506 of the family's 1533-position model. The record is from RNAcentral.